Molecule: long non-coding RNA, 426 nt
Filed under: Coffea arabica (coffee)
Lineage: Eukaryota; Viridiplantae; Streptophyta; Magnoliopsida; Gentianales; Rubiaceae
Description: long non-coding RNA (CARA_LNC005002)
Source: RNAcentral
GAAGUAUGAUAUGACGAGGCAUGGUUUCUCUUCAGAUGAUACAAUGCACGGAAAAACAUCUAGUGGUGCUACUCAAGUUGUUUGAUAGUAUAAAUACUGAGAUAGUUUAGAAUUUGAAACCUCAAAUAGUCUAUGUUAACUACUCAAGUUAUAUUUAUAUAUCAUUUUUAGAUUGUUAACUAGCAUUUUGUCUAUGUUAUGUCAAUGAAACUAUUCCAUCCCAUGUCAAGGCAUGUUGAUUUUUUUGCAAGUAUAGAAGAAACAUGAAUUUUGCAAUUGUUUAUACACCUUUUACAUAUUUUGUCUUUUACAUAUUUUGCAAUUGUUUAAACAUGAAUUUUGUCUUUGUUAUGUCAAUGAAACUAUUCCAUCCCAUGUCAAGGCAUGUUGAUUUUUUUGCAAGUAUAGAAGAAACAUGAAUUUUGC